Molecule: long non-coding RNA, 1254 nt
Organism: Spinacia oleracea (spinach)
Lineage: Eukaryota; Viridiplantae; Streptophyta; Magnoliopsida; Caryophyllales; Amaranthaceae
Exons: 2
Source: RefSeq, a predicted model, not a curated record
AGAUAAAAUACUAAGAAAAGCAUGGUUGCUUAUAAAGCUAGAUGAAUACCUUAGUCAGGUCCAUAAUGAACGAAGACUAACAAAACUAAUAUGGAACAUCAUUUUCUAAAUCAAGAUACAAAAAGAAGGGCAUUUAGAGAAGGAACUAACCAUGAGGGCCCCAUGACAACUGAACAACCAAACGCGUAAUCAGUAUGAAUCCGGCCACCAAAUAUAUCACGUUAUUCCAACCAAAUCACCUGAAUAAAAAAUACCAGGGAACAAUGUAAGCAACAGAAGGGCAAAACGAUGCAUCAUGAUUGGAUAUCCUUAUGCUCAAAAGGGGUUCCAUCUUCCCUCACUUCCAAUCCAUCUUUGUUUUCCCCCUUCUUUAGUUCUGAGAUCUAGAAUCUUCAGUUUCUACCUUUCACUCUAACUAAGUCACCUCUCUCUUUUUUCUCUCUCGGAUUCAAAGCAGCCAAACCAAGUGUAGGCAGUCGCGACUUACCCCGAGUAGUCGAACACAGUGGUGAUCAGUAGGGACUUGGUAGGCUGACAGCCACACAUGUCGGUUCUUUCUUCUCAGUCUCUCUCCCUCUAGCAAGUAACAACUUCUUUUUUUUUUGGUGAAUAUGUAAGAUUAUAAAGUCUAUGGACUACAAAAUUAACUUUCUUGUAGAAAUUAUGUAAAUGAAUAUGUAAGAUUAUAGUCUAUAGACUACAAAAUUAUCUUCUAUGUAGAAAUUAUGUAAAAUUUGGGAGAAAUUUGGCUGAUGCUGGACUACAGAUUAUAUGAGAAACGAAUCAUGCGCAAUGGAGUGAAGUAGGUACAGGCCUACAGCCUACAGAAGGAUGAUAUAGCAAUCAAGGCAGCAACGGAGAUGGUCCGUACCAAACCUAUCUUGGUUCAACUUGGCCCAACAGUAGCUCUCUCUAAAAGCAAUGCGUUGCAGUGGUGUCUCAAGAAGGUGGCUUUGGAGGAGAACACUGAGGAGGCUUCUGAGGAGAAUGAGGAGAAUGACCAGGCGGCUUUGGAGGCUUCUGAGGAGAAUGACCAGGCGGCUUUGGAGAACACUGCUGCGCCUAAGAAGUGAUCAAUUCCAGCAAGGUUGGGUUAUGUAUGAAAGCUAUUAUCAGGCCCCUUUUGUUGUGUGAAACCUAUUAUUAGUAUGACAAUUUAGUAUGUGUGAAAGCUAAGUACUAGAGAAAGGCGAUAUGCAUCAAGCCUUUUGCAAGAAACUCAUGUUAAUGUUGCAAUGCUUAUUUUGAACUCCA